This 245-nucleotide long non-coding RNA is filed under the name Lathyrus oleraceus (garden pea). Its description in RNAcentral is "Pisum sativum (pea) long non-coding RNA (PSAT_LNC014571)". The record is from RNAcentral. Lineage: Eukaryota; Viridiplantae; Streptophyta; Magnoliopsida; Fabales; Fabaceae.
AGAGGAUGACGUAUAUUUUGUUAGGGGUUGCUCUUUUCACCCUUACGUGUGUAUUUCAUAUUUUUGAAAAUUCAAAAAUAUAAUUUAUGUGUUCAGAAAUGUAUUUUCGGACGCACAUAAAAUAACGUUAACAAAGGCGUUGCAUGUGAGACACUCUUAUUUUAAAAAAAUUUAAGUGUUUAGAAAUACAUCUCCGAACAAUGUCCGGAGAUGGAUCUCCAUAAUAUAUAAAACACCGUAUUUCA